GCCUCGGUGGUGUAGUGGUAGAGCACGCGUUCACGGUAUGGAUCAAACGCGGGUUCGAUUCCCGGCUGAGGUC
Molecule: non-coding RNA, 73 nt
Organism: Parelaphostrongylus tenuis
Lineage: Eukaryota; Metazoa; Nematoda; Chromadorea; Rhabditida; Metastrongylidae
Source: the annotation of a GenBank genome assembly